UACGAAGGGGGCUAGCGUUGCUCGGAAUCACUGGGCGUAAAGCGCACGUAGGCGGACUCUUAAGUCGGGGGUGAAAUCCUGGAGCUCAACUCCGGAACUGCCUUCGAUACUGGGAGUCUUGAGUUCGGGAGAGGUGAGUGGAACUGCGAGUGUAGAGGUGAAAUUCGUAGAUAUUCGCAAGAACACCAGUGGCGAAGGCGGCUCGCUGGCCCGAUACUGACGCUGAGGUGCGAAAGCGUGGGGAGCAAACAGG
Molecule: ribosomal RNA, 253 nt
Filed under: uncultured bacterium
Lineage: Bacteria
Description: partial 16S ribosomal RNA
Rfam family: Bacterial small subunit ribosomal RNA
Source: RNAcentral